Molecule: ribosomal RNA, 1307 nt
Filed under: unidentified eubacterium clone BSV78
Lineage: Bacteria
Description: bacterial SSU rRNA
Rfam family: Bacterial small subunit ribosomal RNA
Source: RNAcentral
GACGAACGCUGGCGGCGUGCCUAACACAUGCAAGUCGAGCGGAGUAGUAGCAAUACUACUUAGCGGCGGACGGGUGAGUAACACGUGGGUAACCUGCCCUAUAGAGGGGGAUAGCCAACCGAAAGGUUGAUUAAUACCGCAUAACCCAAGAAUAUCGCAUGAUAGUCUUGGCAAAGGAGUAAUCCGCUAUAGGAUGGACCCGCGGCCCAUUAGCUAGUUGGUGAGAUAACAGCCCACCAAGGCGACGAUGGGUAGCCGACCUGAGAGGGUGAUCGGCCACAUUGGAACUGAGACACGGUCCAGACUCCUACGGGAGGCAGCAGUGGGGAAUAUUGCGCAAUGGGGGAAACCCUGACGCAGCAACGCCGCGUGAGUGAAGAAGGCCUUCGGGUUGUAAAGCUCUGUCUUUAGGGAAGAAAAAUGACGGUACCUAAGGAGGAAGCCACGGCUAACUACUUGCCAGCAGCCGCGGUAAACGUAGGUGGCGAGCGUUGUCCGGAAUUACUGGGCGUAAAAGGUGCGUAGGCGGAUCUUUAAGUGGGAUGUGAAAUCCCGGGGCUCAACCCCGGAAUGGCAUUCCAAACUGGGGAUCUAGAGUGCAGGAGAGGAAAGCGGAAUUCCUAGUGUAGCGGUGAAAUGCGUAGAUAUUAGGAAGAACACCAGUGGCGAAGGCGGCUUUCUGGACUGUAACUGACGCUGAGGCACGAAAGUGUGGGGAGCAAACAGGAUUAGAUACCCUGGUAGUCCACGCUGUAAACGAUGAGUGCUAGGUCUAGGGGGUAUCGACACCCUCUGUGCCGCAGUAAACGCAAUAAGCACUCCGCCUGGGGAGUACGGUCGCAAGACUAAAACUCAAAGGAAUUGACGGGGGCCCGCACAAGCAGCGGAGCAUGUGGUUUAAUUCGAAGCAACGCGAAGAACCUUACCAGGGCUUGACAUCGUCUGAAUAUCUUAGAGAUAAGAGAAACCCUUCGGGGCAGAUAGACAGGUGGUGCAUGGUUGUCGUCAGCUCGUGUCGUGAGAUGUUGGGUUAAGUCCCGCAACGAGCGCAACCCUUGUCAUUAGUUGCUAACAUGUAAUGGUGAGCACUCUAAUGAGACUGCCGGGGACAACUCGGAGGAAGGUGGGGAUGACGUCAAAUCAUCAUGCCCCUUAUGUCCUGGGCUACACACGUGCUACAAUGGCUGUAACAAUGAGAUGCGAAGCCGCAAGGUGGAGCGAAUCUAUUAAAAACAGUCCCAGUUCGGAUUGAGGGCUGCAACCCGCCCUCAUGAAGCCGGAGUUGCUAGUAAUCGCGAAUCAGUAUG